This 708-nucleotide ribosomal RNA is filed under the name uncultured bacterium. RNAcentral's name for it is "bacterial SSU rRNA". It matches the Rfam family "Bacterial small subunit ribosomal RNA", at positions 141 to 851 of the family's 1533-position model. The record is from RNAcentral.
GGAUAGCCUUUCGAAAGAAAGAUUAAUACCCGAUGGCAUAGUUCUUCCGCAUGGUAGAACUAUUAAAGAAUUUCGGUCAUCGAUGGGGAUGCGUUCCAUUAGGUUGUUGGCGGGGUAACGGCCCACCAAGCCUUCGAUGGAUAGGGGUUCUGAGAGGAAGGUCCCCCACAUUGGAACUGAGACACGGUCCAAACUCCUACGGGAGGCAGCAGUGAGGAAUAUUGGUCAAUGGACGAGAGUCUGAACCAGCCAAGUAGCGUGAAGGAUGACUGCCCUAUGGGUUGUAAACUUCUUUUAUACGGGAAUAAAGUGAGGCACGUGUGCCUUUUUGUAUGUACCGUAUGAAUAAGGAUCGGCUAACUCCGUGCCAGCAGCCGCGGUAAUACGGAGGAUCCGAGCGUUAUCCGGAUUUAUUGGGUUUAAAGGGAGCGUAGGCGGACGCUUAAGUCAGUUGUGAAAGUUUGCGGCUCAACCGUAAAAUUGCAGUUGAUACUGGGUGUCUUGAGUACAGUAGAGGCAGGCGGAAUUCGUGGUGUAGCGGUGAAAUGCUUAGAUAUCACGAAGAACUCCGAUUGCGAAGGCAGCUUGCUGGACUGUAACUGACGCUGAUGCUCGAAAGUGUGGGUAUCAAACAGGAUUAGAUACCCUGGUAGUCCACACAGUAAACGAUGAAUACUCGCUGUUUGCGAUAUACAGUAAGCGGCCAAG